GGGGUCGACAUUGGAUUUGACAGCGAUAGCGGUAGUCAAGUGUCAGCAUGCAGAGGGUUGUGGUGAACCUCUUAAAUAUCUUGUCACAAACAAUAAUUGACAAUACGUCAUACGCACUUGCUGCUUAAUUAGCUGAAUGUUAAUUGGCUUAAUCUUUCUGAAGUUUAGUAGGUUAGACAAGUACUUCCGAUAAACUGCUGCUCAUUCGGUUUAUCAUACGGAGGUUCAUCCCAUUGGGCUAGUGAAUGCGAGGUUACUAAGCAUUUGCGAAAUUCCAGUAGCUAAGUUGUAGGUUUGGGUGUUCUUGUCCGUCCUGCAAUCGAAAACCAAUCGAGAAAUAAGCAUGUAGAAAGCUUGAAAACUCGUCGUUUGGACGAGGGUUCGAACCCCUCCGACUCCACAA
Molecule: transfer-messenger RNA, 403 nt
Filed under: Crocinitomicaceae
Lineage: Bacteria; Pseudomonadati; Bacteroidota; Flavobacteriia; Flavobacteriales
Also listed under: 2 other names
Description: UBA952 sp009926905 Standard tmRNA
Rfam family: transfer-messenger RNA
About the family: Bacterial tmRNA, also known as 10Sa RNA or SsrA, is named for its dual tRNA and mRNA-like properties. Its role is to liberate the mRNA from a stalled ribosome.
Source: RNAcentral